This 3196-nucleotide long non-coding RNA is filed under the name Mus musculus (house mouse). RNAcentral describes it as "long non-coding RNA chr17:3149438-3152634". The record is from RNAcentral. Lineage: Eukaryota; Metazoa; Chordata; Mammalia; Rodentia; Muridae.
AGUGCAUUAAGCAGUGCUACAUCUUAUUUUAUAGACCUUUUAGCUUUUCCCAGAGGAAAGAAGGCAGGUAAAAGCUGAAAUGAACAGUCUUGCAUUCUUAGUUUACAGUUAUUAUUGCUCUAAUGAAACAACAUGACCAAAGCAACUUGGGGAGGAAAGGGCUUAGUGGACUUCUGCUUCCACUGCACUGCUCAUCAUCAGUGGGAAGUCAAGUCAGGACAGGAACGAAAGCAGGGCAGGAAACUGGAGGCAUGAGCUGAUAACAGAGGCCUGGGAGGGGUGCUGCUUGCUCCACAUGGCUUGCUCCUGCUUUCCUAUAAAACCCAGGACCAUCAGGCCAGGAUGGCCCUGCCCACAAUGGACUGGGCUCUUCUCUAUCAAUCAUUAAUUAAGAAAAUGCCCUACAGGGCUUGCCUACAGCUUGGACUUAUUGAGGCAUUUUCUUAAUUGAAGCUCUUUCAUCUCAGAUGACUUUUUGUAGCUUGUGCCAAGUUGACACAAAACUUUUUUAUUAGAGUCUCAGUGUCUCCUCGUAGUUCUUUGUGCCAUUGUCUUUUAAGACUUAUACCUAAUAAACUUACAUUUUACUGACUUAUACUUGGCAUUAGCAUUUAGCAAGGUUGCAGUUUAUUAUGGACGGUGACAGGACCAAAAUAAGAUGUGUUUUUAAAUUGGGUUGUCUUAAAGAAUUGAUAACCUAUUUUUGUUUCUGUCUCUCUUUUAACAAAAAUUAAUUUAGCUGGGUGUGGUGGUAUAAAUCUUUAAUGCUAGCAUUUAGUAGAGGCAGUUGGAUCUCUGUGAAUCUCAGGCCAACACCAUAGUGUGUUUCAGGGCAGCCAGGAUAUUUAGUGACUAUGUCUCACAAACCAAAAAAUAAAAGUGAAAGAUUAAAAAAUAAAAAUUGCUCUGCCCCGUUUUUCUCUCUGAGCCCUUUCUCCCUCUUUCCUUCCUCCUUCCACGUGCUGUGGCUGGUCUCCUUUCUUUCUGUUUCUGUACUCCCUUCUCAACUCCCCUUCCCACCCCCCAAAAUAAACUAUUCUAUACUACCAAAUUAAAUAAAUAAAUAAAUGUUAAAAUAAAAAUUUUAAUUUAUAGUUUCUUAUUUAAUUUUUAUGUGUAUGAGUGUUUUGCUUCCAUGUAUGUAAGUGUGUGUACUGUGUUGUGACUGAUAUUCACGGUGGACAGAAGACAUCAGAUUUCCUGGAGCUGCAGUUAUAGCCAUGUGUGAGCUGUCAUAUGGGUGCUGGAAGAUCAGUAUAUGUUCUUAAUUAAAGCACUGAGCCAUCUUUCCACCCCCUUUUCCUUUUUUAAAGAUCUUGUUUUCUUUCUUUUUUUUUUUUUUAAAGAUUUAUUUAUUUAUCAUAUGUAAGUACACUGUAGCUGUCUUCAGACACUCCAGAAGAGGACAUCAGACUUCUGUUACAGAUGGUUGUGAUCUACCCAUGUGGUUGCUGGAAUUUGAACUCUGGACCUUCAGAAGAGCAGUCAGUGCUCUUAACCGCUGAGCCAUCUCUCCAGCCCCUUUGUUUUCUCUAUAAAAUACUGGUUAAUCUUUUGGGGAUUGAGUAGUUUAGGUAAAGAUAAGAUUUAAAGGAAAUCAAAUUGUAAAGCACAGCCUUAGUGACUAAACACUUCCACCAGCAGAAGACUUUUUUUUUUCAUUUCAUUAUUAUUCUUCAUUUACAUUUCCAGUGCUAUCUCAAAAGUCCCCCAUACCCUCCCAACCCUCCCACUCCCCUACCCACCUACUCCCACUUCUUGGCCCUGGCAUUCCCCUGUACUGAGGCAUGUAAAGUUUGCAAGACCAAGGGGCCUUUCUGCCCAUACCUAAACAUGAUAAAAGCAAUCUACAGCAAACCAGUAGCCAACAUCAAAGCAUAAGACUUCUUAAAGGGUCUAAAGUCACAGCCAGCACUCUUCAAUCUGACUGUGUGGGAAUUAAAUAGGGAAUGUUGCUGGAAUGCAUUGUUACUGUGAAUUUGGGGAGGAGCCUGAGAUGUGCAUUUUCUCCAGGCCAAGGUUGAGAUUUUUGCUCCUCUUUGAGAAGUCAGUUUGCAUAGUUGUCAGGUUUCUUGGAAAACAAAAACCUUAGAGAUAAUUUAUCUCUUGGUGGCUGGGAUUGGGGUGGAAGUGUGUUUGAUCAAGUAAGAUAGAUAGUUGAGGAUGUUCUCCCGUUCAGGUGAAGAAGCCAGCCUGGGGAGAAGUGAAGUGCUUUGUUUAUAUCGUUUAUAGACUGAGCUAUGGAUUUGUGUGAUUAACUGUUAAAUAAACUUUUAAUCUUAAAAUAAUUAUCUAAGAGUAUUUAAUCUUAGAGUAAUAACUCAUGUGUUAUUAGGUCAGUGAACAACAUGCCCUAAUAACACAGAUUGCCUGUAACUUUCAGUUAUUUUGGGUGACAACAUAUCGUACAGAAUAUACUUAAUCUAAAAAUCCAAAAAUCCCAAAAUUUUAAAAUCGAUACAUUACUCGCUUAACUUUAUAGAGAAUGUUGGGCAGGUAGAAUUAGCCUUUUGAGAUAGUCCUGAGCUCAGCGUCACUCUUGAGUAUUAGCUCAGUUCUAUGUAUGAAGUAGUUUCUUCCCUCUUGUUUUCUGCCUCGAAUUCUGUCGAUUGUUCCACAGGUUAAGCAUUCGUACACUGACAAGCAUCUGAGUCCCUUUUGACUUCCAGAUAAAGUGGCUAAGAACAUUCAUGUUCUAGUGGAGUAAAUGCAGGUUUUCAUUUUUUUGAAGUGGGGUGAUAAUAUUUCUGUUAUGGUAACCACUUGAUGUUAUGUAUGGCACUCUAUGUGUUAGUCAUUAAAAUUCCAUAGAUAGAAUGAUGGAUGGUGGUGACAAAUGAAAAGUUAACAUUAAAGCGGGCUUCUUAUAGGACAGCUGCUUAGAAUACUGCAGCCAGGAUACAGUGUAUGUUCUGAUAACUCCGCUUUUUUAAGUUUCACACUUACAUGUUUAUUUGUGUGUGAGUGUGUGUGUCACAGUAUAGGUGGAGAGAAGGACAACUUGCUGGAGUCAGUUUUAUCAUGUGGGGCCUGGAGAUGAAACUAAGGCUUGGUGGCAGAUGCAUUUACUGGCUGAGCCAUCUGGCCAUCCUAUCUAUUCUUACAAGACUGAAGCAAAGAACUACAGACACUAAGGACCUAUAAGUUUUAGCAGUACUAUUCGAGUUAGCUCUUAUAUUAUUCCUUUGUUUGUAUU